Acromyrmex echinatior (Panamanian leafcutter ant) is the source of this 630-nucleotide long non-coding RNA. The record is from RefSeq and is a predicted model, not a curated record. NCBI's taxonomy places the organism in Eukaryota, Metazoa, Arthropoda, Insecta, Hymenoptera, Formicidae.
UCAAGGACAAAGUCGCUGCGGUUGCGCGACAAGCCAUCAAUUAUUUUUACUGCUACUAGAUUACUCUGACACGCGCUGACCCGCGCUCAUAUCGUGUUGCGGUACUGCCUAUCGAGGUUAUGUGGAAAGUUUUUGCCGAAAUCGCCGUUAUUUCAUCAGCGUCAUUAAAUAAUAGAUAGAUUGUGGAAAGUGCAAGAGACCGACGAGUACAUCGUUUGAAAUAGCGAAAGAACUGCAAGGUGAAUUCUCAGCUAGUAAUAUCUCGCCGUCGCCAUCGUCAUCGCCAGCAUUCCAUCGAGAUAACGCUAUUAUGCGAAUUCGUGUGAUUUGCAUAUUUCGGGAAGUAUAAGAAUAUUGACAAAGCAGACGCAAAUAUGCCAGCAAUUGCAGACUCCUAUUUUGCAGACCCUAUUUUAAUUAUCAGAGGAAACUCGCUUUAUGAUUCUAAUGCUACAUAUAACGUCGUCAUCAAAAGAAAGAUAAUGAUUUUUUGCGAUGACGUUUUCCAAGGAAUUUUGAUCAGCUUUUUAGCAUAUUAUAUAUUUGGAAUUUGCUACCCAAAAAAAGCUGAGAGACGUUAGAGUUUAUCCAAAGGUAACUGAAAUUUAAUUAUUUACUAUUCAUAUAAUA